UUAAGCUGUCCUUUUAAUAAUAGAAAACAGUUGUCCUCAAAAUGGGAUAAUUUUAAAUAUAAAAAAAAAAACACACCACAGGGAACUGAAAAGAAAAAACAAAUUUAAUGAUGUAUUCAAGGCCAUCCAAACCACCCACCCACAUAUUAAGUGUUUGCUGGCUACACAGACACUAUAGUUGCCAUGGUUAAACCAAAGAUCUUCUUCGGAAAAGUAAACCCCUUGGUUGAAAAAAAAUAAAGCAAAAUAAAAUAUUGCAUGCGGUGAAUAAUCAAACUGUUAGGGCAACAUCCUGCUCCCUCUGAAAUCAGCAGGCUCUUUUCUGCAGGAUUGGUGCUAAAUUUUCAGCUGCCUGAUGGACCAAAAAAUAGGGGGGCUGCAGCACGGAGAUGGGAGCUGCCUGGUGGAGGAGAGAGGAGACUGAAGCUGGGGGUGGCAGGGUGACUGCCCUGGUGAAUUAAACAUGGAAUUUAGUGGUACAGAUAACAUUGCUUUAUUUUCUUAUACAGAUGUAGCUCUGAAGAGCUGGCUGUCAUUUGAACAAUGGGCUUGAAAGGAGUGAAGCAAACUGCCUCCAGCAUAGUGUGGCAGAAGCCAAUGGCAAAGCUGCUGUAGAGAGACACAGCCUGAAUGAAACGCUGAUUGAUAUGCAGUCCAUGUGUCAUAAUAUGUGGCCAAGCCUGCUGGUACCUCAGAAUUACAAACACCAAGAGGCUGAAAAUUUCAACUGGCUGAAGAAAGAACCUAGCAGGGGUGCAGCUCUGGGAAACCCAUUCAUGGAUGCUGGAUCCAUGAGAAGAGCUGAGGAAAUGCAUACACCUGCACAUGGAGAGGAAUGUGUUUUGAUGGAAGUGUAACAAAUCCAGCCAUGAUUUCCUUUGAAGCCACAGUUCAAUAAGGUUUUGUAUUUGUAUUUGUGUUUUCCCAAACUUUUCAGAACCAGGAAGGGAGGGACCUCUCCUGCUGACUGCAGAGCCUCCUGCCUGCAUCCCUGCUACUGGAAGGAUGGAUGGACAGUGAGCCAAGAGCAAGUAUUGGAGCUGAAAUCCUUUUGUAACUCUGUAAGAGGACAGUGUUUCAAAGUAAGACCUAGAAAGCAUGCUUGUUUGCGGAAGAUGUCCUCACAACCUUCAUGGUACAUACCAAGAACUUCAAAAAUUGACAGAAAAUGAAGUGAAAAGGAAAAACGAUACUUUUCUGUACCU
RNAcentral lists this long non-coding RNA (1205 nucleotides) under Gallus gallus (chicken). Its description in RNAcentral is "lncRNA (ENSGALG00010010269.1)". The record is from RNAcentral. Lineage: Eukaryota; Metazoa; Chordata; Aves; Galliformes; Phasianidae.